GGAUGUGAGGGCAAUCUGGCUGCAACUUCUGUUACCCUGAUGAUCUCCAGUGUUGAUUUGGCUGUUCUAGCUGGCUAGAUGGGUGUCCCCAUCCUCUCUCAUUGCUCUGUCUGUGUCUCUCCUGAAGCUUGCUCCGUUGAAGAGGAAGACCUUCCCUUAUAGAGGAGGACCUUUCUUCAGUCAAGGGUAUAUGAGUAGCUGCAUGCCCCUUCUAGAACCUGCAAACAAGCUCUCAAGGUCCAUUUGUAGGAGAAUGUAGGGUAGUUAAACUUCCAAGACUCUAAACACAUUCAAAUGAGGUACUGCAUGUGGAAGUCCACCUUUU
RNAcentral lists this small nuclear RNA (325 nucleotides) under Mustela putorius furo (domestic ferret). RNAcentral's name for it is "7SK RNA (ENSMPUG00000023509.1)". It matches the Rfam family "7SK RNA". From Rfam's summary of the family: 7SK was discovered as an abundant small nuclear RNA in the mid-70s but a possible function has only recently been suggested. Lineage: Eukaryota; Metazoa; Chordata; Mammalia; Carnivora; Mustelidae. The record is from Rfam by way of RNAcentral.